RNAcentral lists this long non-coding RNA (234 nucleotides) under Physcomitrium patens. RNAcentral's name for it is "long non-coding RNA (PPAT_LNC014937)". Lineage: Eukaryota; Viridiplantae; Streptophyta; Bryopsida; Funariales; Funariaceae. The record is from RNAcentral.
AAUCUUCGAUACCGCUUUAUAUUCACGAUCUUGUAUCCACUAACUGUCUUGUUAGAUUAAACCAAUAAAUUUCAUUCACUCCGCAUACUCAAUCCUAUAGACACCCUUUUAAUUCUUUAUCACAAACGUAACUCGAUUUCACAAAACAGUUAAGAGUAAUCAAACCCACUUCAUUAAAAAUCCCGAUUCACCAUUACAACAUUGACUUCAGCAACGAUUAUCUCAGUCUUUCCA